RNAcentral lists this ribosomal RNA (450 nucleotides) under uncultured bacterium. RNAcentral's name for it is "bacterial SSU rRNA". It matches the Rfam family "Bacterial small subunit ribosomal RNA", at positions 28 to 478 of the family's 1533-position model. The record is from RNAcentral.
GAUGAACGCUGGCGGCGUGCUUAACACAUGCAAGUCGAGCGAAGCACUUUUGCGGAUUUCUUCGGAUUGAAGCAAUUGUGACUGAGCGGCGGACGGGUGAGUAACGCGUGGGUAACCUGCCUCAUACAGGGGGAUAACAGUUGGAAACGGCUGCUAAUACCGCAUAAGCGCACAGUACCGCAUGGUACCGUGUGAAAAACUCCGGUGGUAUGAGAUGGACCCGCGUCUGAUUAGCUAGUUGGUGGGGUAACGGCCUACCAAGGCGACGAUCAGUAGCCGACCUGAGAGGGUGACCGGCCACAUUGGGACUGAGACACGGCCCAAACUCCUACGGGAGGCAGCAGUGGGGAAUAUUGCACAAUGGGGGAAACCCUGAUGCAGCGACGCCGCGUGAGCGAUGAAGUAUUUCGGUAUGUAAAGCUCUAUCAGCAGGGAAGAAAAUGACGGUAC